GUGGGUAUAGCUCAGGGGUAGGGCGCAUGCUUAGCAUGCACAGGGUUCUGGGUUCAAUUCGCAGUACCUCCA
Molecule: transfer RNA, 72 nt
Filed under: Camelus dromedarius (Arabian camel)
Lineage: Eukaryota; Metazoa; Chordata; Mammalia; Artiodactyla; Camelidae
Also listed under: 1 other name
Rfam family: tRNA
About the family: Transfer RNA (tRNA) molecules are approximately 80 nucleotides in length.
Source: Rfam by way of RNAcentral